This 467-nucleotide ribosomal RNA is filed under the name uncultured fungus. Its description in RNAcentral is "SSU rRNA". It matches the Rfam family "Eukaryotic small subunit ribosomal RNA", at positions 569 to 1041 of the family's 1831-position model. The record is from RNAcentral. Lineage: Eukaryota; Fungi.
AGCAGCCGCGGUAAUUCCAGCUCCAAUAGCGUAUAUUAAAGUUGUUGCAGUUAAAAAGCUCGUAGUUGAAUUUCGGGAUUAGUACGUUGGUCGUGCCUUCGGUACGUACUGGUGCUACUGAUUCCUACCUUCUGACGAACCAUCAUGUCAUUAAUUUGGUGUGGCGGGGAAUCAGGACUGUUACUUUGAAAAAAUUAGAGUGUUUAAAGCAGGCUCGCGCUUGAAUACAUUAGCAUGAAAUAAUGAAAUAGGACGUUGACCCUAUUUUGUUGGUUUCUAGGAUUGACGUAAUGAUUAAUAGGGAUAGUUGGGGGCAUUAGNAUUCAAUUGUCANAGGUGAAAUUCUUGGAUUUAUUGAACACUACCUACUGCGAAAGCAUUUGCCUAGGAUGUUUUCAUUAAUCNAGAACGAAAGUUAGGGGAUCGAAGACGAUUCGAUACCGUCGUAGUCUUAACCCUUAACUAUG